UAGCAUGGAUAUGAUGAAUAGUGGCUCUGCCUAAUUUUAAAAUUUGAGUUCUCUCUCUAGUUUAGACAUAACUGUUAUAAUUUAAAGCUUGCUCUAAACCUAAACUUGUGGGAAGAAAACUUGAUCUGAAGUCUAGGUUGUUAACGGAUAUGAUAUGGGAAGGUUGAGCUGCUGUUUAUCUGUUUCUAGAGAUGCUAGAAUUCUAGAGAAUUUUAUCUUCAAAAAUCUUUAAAAAUUGCAUGAUGAGUUCCUGUAUGAUGAGAGUUUAAAUUCCUACCACAGUCAUAUAUACAUGCUUGCUAGAUUUUAAGCCACACAUUUACUUUUUACUGCUUAUGAGCAUUGAGUGUGGUCAAGCUAUGUAGACCCUUAGGAGCUUGUCAUGUGGUUAAAUCAAGAUUCACUUGCACGUUCACUCACACAUGCUACUUCUACCUCAGAACUACGCAUCCACAUAUAUCCACUCAUUUCCAUCUCCAGAACCAUCCAAAAAUAUUCUACUCCUAAUCCGGGAGAGAAUAGCCAAAAAUAUUUCUAUUUCCCCUAUGAAAUAAAUGCUCAACUUAUCUUGGUUACUACCACUUGCUAUAUUAUUUCAUGAGAUGAGUGCUCUAAAAAAAGAAAAAAAGUGAGACAAGGGGUAAAAAUGGACAAGUGUCCGACAGUAGAAUUAGGGGUACAAAAUACCCACCUAAGAGGAAAGAAAAAGAAGAGCAUCUCAUUCUCCUCAAAAGUUUCAAAGAGCAAGAAAGGUAUGUAUCCCCUCAAAAGAGCAAAAGUAGAAUUAGACUUUCACCAUUGUUAUCACCAUCAUCACCAUACACCAUUCGCCACACAUGCACAUCUUGAUUUGAAUUAUUGACUUAUUUCUUUGGAUCCAUGGUUUGACUAUACAAUAAAUGUCUUGUGAGUAUGUAUACUUUAUCUCCCACCUAUGAGCUCCAGAUAUUAAUGCCUUAUUAGAGUAGGAUGAGAGAGAAGGUAAUGUCACUAUGCCUUAUACCACAAAUACCACAUAUAUUGAGAGAAGGCGUAUACCAUCACUGCCUUGGUAAGGAUCCAAAAAUACCACAAAAGAGAGAUCUGAGAGAGUUAUACAAGGAAUCUCUGAGUUUUAUUUGAAAUCUGCAAAAAAACUCCAGAGCUAUAGCUGAUCAAGAAUAAGAGACAUGGCGCUUGACUAGACUGUUCUAUCUUUUAACUACUCAAGACGGAAGUGACGGUUACAAGUCCCAUGGUGAAAGGUAAAAUGAAUAAGUUUUAAGUCUUGACAGUUUACUCUAACUCAGAGAUGAGAUCUUAUUUAAAAGCAUGUGUACCGUCAACUUUUAAAGGCAUUACAACAACUUCUGAUCCAUCGCUGAGAUUAUCCUUGCUCAGGGACGAGCAAGAGGUAAGCUUGGGGGAGUUUGUUGACGGUCCUUAAGUAUCAAAUUUAAUUAUCAAAUAAACAAAGAAAAGGAUCCAAAUGCAACCGACACCCAGACUUAGGGUUUUAUCUCACAGAAUUCCACGAGUUUUGGUGUUUGUCUAUUUCUGCAGGGGGUUAUAAGGAAAUACGGAAGAAAGGUCCACACGUCGGGAUUACAUAGAGAUAUUAACAUGCCGCACAAUUUUCUAUCGUCUAGAAGACUCGAGAAGCCACGGGAACGAAACGGAGGCAGAACGGGGCCUGGCCCAGGGCGCCCGCCCCCCUUUGGUGCCCAAUCAGAGUCCUCUUCGGGGAUCAUGCCCCACCGACCUAAAGGAUCAAGGAUAACCGUUCAAUCAAUGUCGGUUUGAUCAGACGGCCCACAUUCACUCAGGACUAUAUAACCAGACCCCCUGGCCCAUGGAGGAGAGCACAUCUCAACCCUAAUUCAUUUUUCAUCAGGGAGAAGAAGCCUCUGAUCAAACCCUAGAGCCACCACAUCAAUUAGAUCUCUAGAUUAGCAUAGCUACAUAGGAUUAGAACUAGAAGGAGUCAAUCUUCGAUUGGUUUCCGGAUCUGUCAAGAGGAUUAUUGGUAAUUCUCUAUUGUUCUUCAAUUGUUCAUCUUUGUUCUUCGAUAUUAUGAAUAUGACUUUGUUCUACUUCAAUAUAUUAGUUAUGACUUUGCUCUACUUGUUUAUAUUCGCAAUUAUAUUGUUCUUAGUUUAUCAUAGUUAUAUACUUCGCUUAGUUAGAUUGGAAUUAUAUAGAUGUUUAGGAUCGUAUAGCGUUUAUCCAUUGGAUCCAUGGAUAAAUGAUAGAUAUUGUGUACGCGUGGUGCCUAUACCAUAUUUAUUUGCGAUUGUACCCUAUAUGCCAAAUCGCGGGGUAGUUCAUGGUAGUGACAGCUCCAUUGAUUCUUAUAUAGUCCCCCUCUCGUGUAUUGGGCUGGAAGAGCAACAUUAUUACAGGGGAGUGAUUGCGAUGUUUAUCAUAUUCCUUGAUAAUAUCACUAUGCAUGGGUGUAGUCCUGUCUCACAAUGAUUGCUAAGUAUAAUUGCACUAACUAUGAUAUGCUAGACUGUAUAGUUAAGAAUAACUUAGGAAAUAUUCUUGUAGAUCGUCCUAAUUCCAUGCUAAUGACUUGCUAGAAUAUUUAAUUGAGGUGCUUAUCAUAUUUAUAUGUGGCUAAGUUAUGCUGAUCAGAUUAAUUAUCUUUGUCACCAUUCAUUACUUUAUAUAUCCUUUAUGUGAUACUUAUCCCUGUAUGAAAGAGAUAGAUAAAUGUUCUCAAUUAUACAUGCAAUGAUAGAUACUCAAUCUUAUAUUCCAUUCUAUAAUCAACAUUGAUGUUUAGCAAUCCCUUCCCAGUGGUAAAAAUAUAAAUAAUGAUACCUGGAAUACUUCCCGGUUAAAAUGCUACAUCGGUAUUAAUCUGUGCGCUUGCAGAUCUCAUUUGUUAUUUAUUUAGAAGAGCAAUUGCAUAUUUCAAUACCGCGUCUUUCAUGUCAUGCUGGGGAUGACAACUUGGCUUAAGUGGCAUGAGGGAUAGGUUUGGCAUUUUUGGCACCGUUAUCAGAAUUAGAAAACUAAGUCUACUUUUGGAAGUGACGUUAAGAAUGCCCAACACACAUCAAGGUACCCUCGUAGAUAAACAAGAUAUCUAGACACACCGCAUCUACAUAUUGUCUACCAUCUACCCACCAAUUGAUUGGGUAAACGCUAUACGAGCAAUUACAUGAAUUCAAUAAGAUCAAACCAACUAUCCUAGAUAUAAAAUCAAAGUAGACAAUGACUAUUGCAAUUAAGAAUAUAUAAGAGAUUAAGAACAAUGUUGCCUAAAUCAUAAUAUUGAAUACAAUAAGAGAAAGGUACUAGAGCUAUACUGAACUCCGCGCUCCAGACAGACGACAGGGGUUUGGAUCCCGCUGAAGAACUAGAACUCUUCUACUUCUAAUCUGACUAGGCUAAAACUAUGAACUAGAGAGGCUCUAAUGAACUAGAGAAGGCUCUUGAUGGAUUGAUCUCCAAAUGACUUGAUGCCUCUAGGGAGGGGGGUCUGCCCCUUUAUUUAUAGCCCCGUGGGAUCGACGUGCGCCGCAAGAUCAAACCGACUUAACCAAGGGCGAAAAUGACUCCUCGGAGGCGGUGGAGGAAGCUUCCAGAAGGGGGACCGGCCACCGGCCGACGCCAUGGUGGGGCCGACCGGCCCCACCUGGUGGCCUGUGGCCCCCGAUUUCUUCCGGUCUCCUAGAGUCUUCCACGUCUCAUUCGUGAUCUUUUUCGUGGCGGAUAAGUUUUGUGGUAAAUAUGCACUUGAAUCCCUCUUUUCAGCUUUUCUAGAAAUAGACCCUGGAAAAUACAGAAUAUGCAAAACUCAUUGAAAUUGUCAAUUUAAACCCUAGACUAGUGUGUUUUCAUGUUCUCCUUCGGGUUUAAAGUUCUAAUAAAAGUUGACGUUAUCGACCGUCAACAAUUCCCCCAAGCUUACCUAUUGCCAGUCCCUUGGCAAACCAAGCCUAAGCAGUAUAUGUAUUUAGAUCAAGAGUUGCUACAACAUUUUCAUUCUUUCCAAGUACACAUGCUCCCAAACAAAGAUUCUCUUUCGGAUUAGUCAAUAAAUGCUCUAAUCUUCAAACUUACCCAUUUUACCCUUAACGAUGGGGCUUUAUAACUUCUGCAUGAGUCUUGAGCAAUCAGAAGACAGAACAAUGAGGUUAAGCACUAUGUCUCAAAUUCUUUGCAGAACCAUUAUUUUAGAGUUUUUUAUAAGUUUUCAGAAUAAAACUCAGAGCUUAAUUGUAUGACACCCUCAAGUCUCUCAAUGUAUGUGAUAUUUAUAGUUCUCUCUUGAGGCAUUAAUGAUGCUAUGCCUCCUAUAGCUAAAGGUAUAUAUGGUAGAUCUUACAGGAGUGCCAAUAACAAGGAUAGGCAAACUUGCAAUGCAUGUAUUGUAAAGUCAACUAAUGGAUCCAUAGAGAAUCAAGGCAUACAAUCAAACCAAGGUGUGCAUGUGUAUGGAAUAUGGUGGAUGGGUGCAUUUGUGGUAUUUGUCGCUAAUUUCUAUUUCUUUGGGAAUAACUCUCUAUUGAAACUUUUCAGGAAAGACAUGGGCUAUCAUUGUUUUUUUCAGGGAGGUGGGCAUCUAGUACCCAUUGUUUAAAUUACUGGGACACUUGUCCAUCUUUAACUCCCUUUUCUUCUCUCUUUUUUAAUAACUUUCCUUUUGCAUAGCCACAUGCAUCCUUUGAAUACAAUAUGGUAAUUGGAGAGAUAGCAAUAAGUACCUAGAGCCAUUAAACAAAGGUUGUCCUAUGGGUUUUGUUUAUGUUAGUGUUUACUCCUAGUGUAGGAGAAUAAUGCAUAUGUGAACUAGCGUGUGUACGUGAUCUUAGUUUUAAAAGCAUGACAAGACUCUCAUAAGGUAUACGACAAAGGUUGACUGAACUCAAUGCAAAGCAAGCAGCAUAAAUGUGCAAAAGUUUUCCUAACUCUAAAUGUAUAUUAUAUAUGGCUUUGGUAGGAAUUCAAACUUGUCAUACAAGAGCUCAUCAUGUAAAUUUUAAAUUUUUGAAAUAAAUCUCCAUAACUUAAUAAUGCUAGGAAUAAGAUAUAUAGCAGCUCAGACUUUCAAUGAUCAUAUCAACCAACUACCUAGACUUAGUUCAAACUUAUGCCUCCACAAGUUGCAAGUUCAGAGUAAACCUUCAAAUUAAAACAAUCAUGUCCAAAACUCGUGAGAAUCUACCGUUGGAAUCUAGGUACUUGUAAAGAAUUAUAACAGAGCAACUAUUCAUCAUCUCCAAAACAAAAUUUUAAUGUUCAUCCAUUUUUGUUUAGCUCUAGUUUAGACAGACUCUAAACAGACUCUUACACUUAACUUAUUAUAAACUCACAAAAAGACUCUAACUUGUGGACCUUCAUGUGCCCACAUAUUUUUGGUAUUUAUAUGACUAUAUAGACUCAAAAUCACUUAGGUAUAAUUACCUGAUAACUAGGGGAUGCUCCUCCCCCAAGCUAGAUGGUUGCAAUACUUGGUGUAGACGUCCUUUAGAAUGAGCUAACCAGUAGCAGACCUGGUGAGUGCCACUGAUAGACUCUCUCCUUGCUAUGAUGUUAUUCCUGCAUAAAUACUCUCCACAAAGAGAAACCAAAACUUGAGGCUCAAAUUUGUUAAUGGGUUAGCGGUCAGCCAAAGAGUAAUUGAUCACCUUUAUGAGCUAGCUUUAUUGUUGUCUAAUUUAAACAUGAUUUCAAUUUUCUCUUAUUUUUGAAUUUUCUAUUUAUGAUGCAAGAAUUUAAAUAUGAAUGCUAUAUUUUUUAAGCCACCACAAUAAAUAUUCCUAAGGGGUUACCAUAAGUUUAUUCACAUGGGGCUUGGUAUUUAUGAUGUAGUAAUUAAAGCAGUAAAUAUUUGUUUGUAAUUUGUAUUAAUAUGCUAAGAGAAAUAAAUAUGCUACUAGGUGUAUUAAAGCAAAAUUACUAAUGCAUGCUAACUUAACUAGAUAACUAUCAUUCUUACCUUAUGGCUAGGGUAUGGAAUUUAAAGUCUACCGAUAGGACUUAGAUAGAGAACACUUACUCAGUGGGUUCAUCGUCUGAGGUAACCUCAGUCAACUCCCUGUUUCGUGGUGAUGCGUCACGUGCCUUCUUCCAUCUCAUUUCUAUCUCUUUUGCUUCUUUCUUUUUUGGCUCCAGUUCUUCAACUUUAUUCUCUUUCUCCCACGCUUCUAACUGUGUUGAUAGUUAGGGGAUGUUCUCCCCCAAGCUAGAUGUUUGCUUAUGGUUGAUCGUUGAAGCUGAGUGGUCCUCAUGGAGGAGCUCAUGCUUAUAAGAGCAAGUAUUGCCUGGAAUACUUCAAUCUCAUCACCCAAAAAGUUACUUCAUUCAUACAGGUGUUAGUUGUAUGUUAGAAAGGUGUACUUCAAGUGAUGAAGAUGAAGAUUCCUUGGUAAGCUGGCUUUUGGAGUCAUCCUAUAGAAAGCUCUCACAAAACACCAAAACUCAUGGAACGGUAUUAGGAUAAAAUGUUAAUGAUUAUCGUUUUUGGAGGAUUGGGUGUUGUGAUGGUUUCAAAGUAUUUUUAAGACAACAGUAUUGCAGCAGGAUACUCAGUUAAUAUUUUUGGAUUUUAUGGGUUUAUAUGCAUAAAGUGCAAAUGCAUGAUAUAUAUUUUUAUUCUAUAGGCCACCACAGUAAGAACUCCUACAGCUUUUACACUACAAGGGUUCCACAUGGAGCUUAAUAUAUAUAUAUAUAUAUAUAAUGCAAGACUAUUUAUUUUUGUUAUUUCUAUGCAUUGCCAAUAUAGAAAAGUAAACAUACUAAAGGGAAAUUAACUCAUACAAUGUAAGGAAGUAGAUAUAGAUAACUAUCAAUGUUACCUUACGGUGAGGGUUCGAUGUUUUUAGUCCUUCAAACUGGACUUCUCCUUGCAGUGGUUUAUUGAGUACUUUGAGUUGCUCUUGACGGUAAGGAUUGAGGUGGUGCCUCUACUAGUGGCUCCCAAUAGCGGUGCCACCUUAGUUCUUUCUGUUGUAGGCGUCUCAAAGCCAAUCUUAUGUGCAUCAUUAUAACUAGUUGAAAACCUUCAUAAAGAUAAGGUAGAGAUCAAGUGCAUGGGCUCUAUUGGUGGGAAACACCAACAGAACUAGAAAUUUAUUUAUCCUCUAACCUUGGGCACAAUAAGAUUGAUAUUUUUCAUAUUGUUCAUUCCUAUCAUGGGUGAGAGGACCAGAAGUAUAAAUAUGAUAUUUAAACUUGUGAGAUAAAGAGUAAAGUUACUUAACCAUUAGAAAGGUUAUUCAUCUUUAUAAUAUAUCAAGAAUAAUAGACGAAGUAUUUCUAGCUUACUCGGUUAAGACUGAGAUUACAAGAAUAGCGCUAUGAACAAACUUAGAGAACAAAUCAUGUUGAGUUUAAUCACGUUGAUCAAUUUCAGUUGUAACUCUAAUAUGGUUAUAUUUUCAUUUAUUGCAUACCAAGAUCAAGAAGAAAUUAAUGACCACUUAUCUUAAGGUGCUACCUUCAUUAGUGUGAUGAAGGGUAAAUGAAUUUCAAUGGUCUCUCUCUUUUCUCCUUGCAUCACGGGUUAUUCAUUAGCAUCUUGUCUCGUAUGUUGUACUCCUUUCUCAUUCUUCAAACCUUCUGCUUCUCUCAUUAUGUCUUCUCUGCAAGGGGUUAGUAGAGAACACAUACCCGAAGGAAUAUACUAUUUAUCAAAGUAUGGAUAGUGUUUGCCUAAGAGUUAAAGAUAAAUUUGUAGCUCAUAUUUUCAAUGAUUCACUAAUUUAAUUAAUAUAUUAUAUAUAUAUCAAGAUUAAAGCAAGGAUAUUAUUUUGAAGCAUAUUCUUAACUUGAAUUGAUUCUAUGAAUAGUCUCCUAAUAUGAUUUAAACAUUUUUUAAGUAGGAGGGGUUAGUCUAUAUGUAUAAAUAAAUUCUUAUAUAAGUAUGCUUGAUUUUCAUAAUCUUUAAGUAAUAUUCUAAAGCAUACUUAUAAUAGAAUAAGGAAGUUUGCAAGACUAAAGGUAUUUAUUCACAUAGAACCAAGAAUAUGUAUGGUGAACCACAGGAGCAUUUUAUUAUAUAUUUUAGCAAGUUAUGUUUGAGCAUAGCAUAGGGUAGAAAUGACCAAGACAAAUUAGCAACAUGGUAUGAGAUGUUAUUGUAGUUACAUGUUGCAUGAGGCUUGGACAAACGUACCUCAUAUCUUCAUCUUUCUAAGUAAGUGAUGAUGAACUUACUUGGAAGAGGAGGGUUUGGGUUCAUCUGUUGGUGAGAGCUCCUCGUCUUGCUGAGCAAGGCCUUCCUUUUAUUCUUCGCCUUUCACCAUUCAAUGAAACUAUAGAAGAUUGCAUGCUCUUCACUCAUCAACCUUUUUCUGACUUCUUUGAUUAAUUUGCGGUUGAUGAGCUAGGGUCUUUCGGAGAUGCAAUAAUGUUCACUUGAAAACUUCUUCUCCAAUAGAUUAAGGUUGUUCUUUCCUGCAAAACGUUAAUGGACACAUACCCGAGGGAAUAACAAGAUUGAAAUACGGGUUUUGUUGUCCAUACUUUUUUUGUGAUUUUCUUCUAUGCUAAUUAAGAUGAUAUAUGGUUUAAGAUUAUUUAGCAUAAAUUGUGUCUAUUGUGUUUUAUGUUGUUGUUGCAAUCUACCAUGGUUCAAGGAAAAGAUAACUUGUAACAAAAGAUAAAUGGAUAAAUAUUACUACUCACAAGUUGAACUUUUUGUGCAAAGUUAUCAUCUGCCUUGAUUCAUCCUUGAUGUGAACUUAUAUCUUGACUUUCCCAGAUUUAAUUCAAAAUUUUCUUGUAGGGAUUAGUCCAACAAAAUAUUCAGUAUACACUACAACAUACUAUCGGCUCAAAAAUCAACCUAGAGACCACAUCUAAUUUGACUUAGGAAGGUAUUUUAAUCUGAGCUCAGUUUAAAAGCCUUUUAAAAGUAAAACCACUUCUCCAAAACUAAGCACCAUGCUUCAUUUAAGAGAUUUAUGAAAGUACUUCAAAGCCUAAACAUAUAUCAUAGCAAAUAAAGGUAACAUGAAAAUAUAGUAGAGAUUUAUUCAGAUAGAGAUAAAAGAGCAUGAUCAUGGUGAGUUUUUUAUAAUGCAUGUGAGAUGAAUAUAUGAAAUGGAACAAGUUAUGAGGAAAUUUAAAUUAAAUAGUCUGAAUAUAUGGAUUAAUGUAAACAUGCAGUGGAAUAUAAAAAUAACUACUCAUAAUUGUUGAAGUCCAUGAGCAAGACUUUCUCACCUUUAUUUGAUCAUACUUACCAUGACUCACAUUCUGGAAUUUGUGAGUGAUGCAACAUCUUUGUUCCCAUCACUUGAGAUAUGAAUUAAAGUCCUAUGACAUCGACCUCUUUCUCCAACAUUGGAUUUCUUCUUAUUUUGUGGGGGCAUGCUGGAAGGUCAUAAACCGGUUGUUUAUUACCCUGCAUAAGAUUAUAAAGUAGACAAACAAGGGUAAUCCUGCUUGAGCAGGGGUUAAUGGUUAUCUCAAUCACAUAAUUGAGUAUAAGUCUAUCAAUGUUCGCCUAGCUACCUUCCUCAGCAACGGUGCCAAAAAUGCUUGUUGGUAUAAAUUAACUGCACUCCUUUAAAUAAUAUUUAAGUAAGAUUAUCCGCAAGUGCACAGAUAUCGUACCAAUUUCACAUUUUACCCGGGGGUUUUAAAUAUCGUAUCCACAGGGAAGGUCUAUAUGUAGGACUUAUAACUAUAACUUCUACUAUUGGUGUGAACGAUAAACCAUAACUAAAAUUUUGCUCAUAAUAGGGAUAAGUCACUUGAUAAAAGAUAUAAGAUAAAUAAUGAUCAAUCAUCAUAAAUAGAUAAAUAUCAGAGUUCUUCUAGUCAUAGUAAUAACUAGCCAUUGGAUAAACUCAGGAAUAAAUACUAAGGUAAUUCUAUAACUACAUCAAUGAAUAACUCUAAUUAGUGCAAUUAUAUUUAGAAAUCAUUGUUAAGUCAACCCAUAAUUACAUGUAAAGAGACAUCAACUAAUGAGGGUUUUAAGACGCAACCGUCACCUCCUUCACGACCGCGCCCAAGCUUGCCCAACAUACGGGGGGUGGACUACAGAAGAACCAACGCAGCUGUCACCUACGCAGACUACAACAUGACCCGACACAUCAAGGUGCCCUCGUAGAUAAACAAGAUAUCUAGACACCACGUCUACAUAUUGUCUACCAUCUACCCACCAAUUGAUUGGGUAAACGCUAUACGAGCAAUUACAUGAAUUCAAUAAGAUCAAACCAACUAUUCUAGACAUAUAAUCAAAGUAGACAAUGACUAUUGCAAUUAAGAAUAUAUUAGAGAUUAAGAACAAUGUUGCCUAAAUCAUAAUAUUGAAUACAAUAAGAGAAAGGUACUACAACUAUACCGAACUCUGCGCUCUAGACAGACGCUAGGGGCUCCAGAUCCCGCUGAAGAACUAGAACUCUUCUACUUCUAAUCUAACUAGGCUAAAACUAUGAACUAGAGAGGUUCUGAUGAACUAGAGAAGGCUCUUGAUGGAUUGAUCUCCAAAUGACUUGAUGCCUCCAGGGAGGGGGUCUGCCCCUUUAUUUAUAGCCCGGUGGGAUUGACGUGCGCCGCAGGAUCAAACCGACUGAACCAAGGGCCAAGAUGACUCCUCGGAGGCGGUGGAGGAAGCUUCCAGAAGGGGGCCAAAACCCUAAUAGGGGGGCACCGACCGGUGCCAUGGUGGGGCCAGCCGGCCCCACCUGGUGGCCUCUGGCCCUCGGUUUCUUCUGGUGUCUUCCAGAGUCUUCCACGUCCCGUUCAUCAUCUUUUUUGUGGCGGAUAAGUUUUGUGGUAAAUAUGCACUUGAAUUCCUCUUUUCAGCUUUUCUGGAAAUAGACCCUAGAAAAUACAGAAUAUGCAAAAUUCGUGGAAAUUGUCAGUUCAAACCCUAGACUAGUGUGUUUUCAUGUUCUUCUUCGGGUUUAAAGUUCUAAUAAAAGUUGACGUUAUCGAACGUCAACAGUGUCCCUCUAUACUUCCUUCACACUUUGUAAUUUGCCAGACUUAAUUUCUAGUUGCUUUAAUUUUACUUUUUCAGCAGUCUCUUUAAAUAGACAUAAUUCUAAGUAAACAAAAUUCUUUCAGCAAAGUCAAUCGAUUCUGGAUAGGUCAAAACCUUAUCAGCAAAAACAACCGAUCCAUCACUUAGAUCUAUCACAACUACAGUUAAACAGAUUGGCUAUUUUAGUCAACCCAUGUUCCUCAUAUAACAGAGACAUUUUUGACUUAGCUGAUCCAUUUACCCCAAAUAGUGGAAAUGUCCUCAAUUUAGCUGAUCCACUCCUUCUAAGGAAUUAACUACAUGUUGUUCUGCCUUCUACUUAUCCCUUUAUAAAUAACACUGAUGCCCCCGAGGGGAAAAUCACUCAGCCCUUGGUCUUUCAUCUUCAUCCUCUCAACCUUCAAAUCAUCCAUCUUCCAUCAAACCCUAACUUAACCCAAUGGCGGAUAGUAGGAGCAAGCAUCCAGCAUCACCCUCCUCCGAGGAGGAGGUGAACUCCAUGCAGCGCCGGUGGUUGAACAGGUAUCCUAAAUAUUUCACCUUCUUCUUUCUUGAAUCAUUACCUAUUCUUUUACUCUUUUGUAGCCCUACCCCCCGAGCUAAUUUUGGGGCAGGCCCUAGUCAUUUGGCAAGGACAACAUCAGCAUUUUCUUUGCCUCAAGUAGCAGUAGCCUUUGAGGAGGCUGCUACAAACUAGGCAGCCAAAGCAAGCUAGGAGGUUUCAGAACCGCUUGGCCACGAAGACGCUCUGGGGCAUCUUUGACAAUGAGGACGCUUAGGAUUUCCUCCAAUGUCUUCACGAAGCCCAGAACCUCUACUCCGAGGAAUGCAAGAGGUCCCACUGUCUCCAAGAGAAGCUCUGAAAGGUCCUAUGGCUAGAGGGGGGGUGAAUAGCCUAUUUAAAAAAUCUACAAACUCACUAGAGCAAGAGGUUAGUAAAUAACAAAGCGUAGCUUUUUGCUCUAGAUCUAAAAGGGGUGUUUGCAAGCCACCUAUCCAAUAAUUCUAGUAGCUAUGAUCACUAUGCACACAAGCUCUAGGUCUUCUACAAGUUACACUAGUGAGCUUAACUACACAAGUCAAAACUAGCAACUAAAACAAGUUACACUACUUUGCGGUAAGUAAAAGGAGAGGAAAAGAUAUUUAUACUGCCGUGUAGGGGAUGAACCAAUCACCAAUAUAUCAACAAUCAAGCACCGGGAGAAUGCCAAUCAAUCACAAUUGAGACACCAAUUUUUCUCUCGAGGUUCACGUGCUUACCGGCACGCUACGUCCCCAUUGUGUCGACCAACACUUGGUGGUUCGGUGGCUAAGAGGUGUAGCACGAACCUCGUCCUCACUAGGACACCACAAGAACCUACCCACAAGUGAGGUAGCUCAAUGACACGAGCAAUCCACUAAUGUUGCCUUUGGCUCUCCGCCGAGGUAGGCACAAACCUCUCACAAUCACCGAGAGAUGGCCACGAACAAUCACCAACUCGUGCCAAAGCUCCUCCGCAGCUCCAAGCCGUCUAGGUGGUGGCAACCACCAAGAGUAACAAGCAAACCCGCUGCUCAACGAUCACUAGUGCCACUAGAUGCUCAAACUCUAAGCAAAUGCAACUAGGAUCUCUCCCAAUCUCACUUUGGAUGAACAAAUCUUGAACAAGGUGAGUGGGAAGUGUGGGAGUAUGCUCACAAGGUGUAUCAACAAGUUAGAGAGUCAAGAGGGUGAGCAAGAACCGGCCAAGGCUUAUUUAUAGAAGUCCCAACCUUCAACUAGCCGUUGACAGUUUAUCCCACAGUCUGCGUUCACACCGGACGCGUCCUAGUUCACACCGGAUGCGUCCGGUGCUCCUGACUGUUAAAAAAGGAGCCGUUGCCUCUGACACCGACAAGGCACCGGACGCUUGCUUUUGAAAUACCGGACGCGUCCGGUGUCACACCGGACCCAAACUCAGGGAGCGUCGCAAACUUGAGCCAACACCGGUCGCCACACCGGACGCACACACCGGACGCGUCCGGUGUGCACCGGACUCACACCCAGAGAGCUCUGCAGGAGGAGUUUGCACCGGACGCUAACUCGGACGCGUCCUAGUUCACACCGGACGCAUUCGGUGUGCACCGGACGCAAACUCUGAGAGUUUCACUGAGAAACGAACUCACCGGACGAGGCACACCGGACUCUACGCGAAAACUGUUUCCGCGUUCGGUGCCUCAACUCGCACGCGUCCGACCUCAUACCGGACGCGUCCAGCCUGAAAGCACUGCGCGAAAAGUUUCUCAACUUCUACCCUUGCUUCCAUGUGCCAACACCAAAGUGUCUCCACACUUGUGCACGUGUGUUAGCAUAUUUCAAAAACAUUUUUCAAGGGUUACUUAGUUAGCUCACUAGGUCCUAAUGCACAUGCAAGGAAUCCAAUCACCUAGUGUCACUUAGACAACCGUUUUCACAACGAGAUUACCCCUCUUAAUAGUACGGCUAUCUAUCCUAAAUGUGAUCACACCCUCUAUGGUGUCUUGAUCACCAAAACCAAAACCCUAAGCAAUACCUUUGUCUUGAUCUCCAUAGGGUUUUGUUUUUCUCUUUCUUCUUUUCCAAGUUUAGCACUUUAUCAUCUUGUGGUCAUCACCAUCAUCACCAUGAUCAUUACUUGCUCCAUCACUUGGCAUGUACCAACCUCAUUAAGUCUACACACACUUAGUAUAGAGGUUAGUGCUAGGGUUUCAUCAAUUAUCCAAAACCCAACUAGGGCUUUCAAUCUCCCCCUUUUUGGUAAUUGAUGACAACCCUUUUUCCAAAGAUUUUCAAUAAAAUUUUCUUGGAUUCAUGUUGCUUGCCCAAGCAUUUACCAUGUGCAAAGGUUAUGGACAAGUUUCAUAAGCCCAAAUUAGUAGCAAUUGCUCCCCCUACAUAUGUGCUAAGAGUUUGGAUUUGAAAGCUUGCACAUAUGCUUGAAUAGGAAAAAAUAGGAGUCAAUUUCUACCAAAUGAUGCUAAGGUGUAAAGAAUAGACCUUUGAAGCGUGAUACCAAUCGGAGUUGCCAAUGUAUGCCAUCCUUAGCACCAUUAGUAACUAGACAUUCACAAAACUAGAACACCUCGUGAGAUCAACAUUAUAAACAAGAUUCUAGUACCACUUGUGAAACAACGAAAAGUCUAGUUACACUAUCUAUGCAUGCUAGUUCUUCAUUUCAUCAAUCAAGCCUACAACUAGCAUACACCACACAAGCAAAGUAUCGGAGAGAAAGCUUCUAAAGCUAAAUGCAAAUGCAAGCAACCAUAUGUGAUGCACCUACAAAUGCAACAUACAAGUUUAUGAGCUUGCUCCCCCUACUUGUGUGCUUCAAAAUUUUAAUUGAUCCCCUUCCUUUAUCAUGUUACCUUCUUUUAUCAUGUUACUCCCCUAUCUUUAAUCUUUGGGAAAUUCUCUCCCCCUUUGUCAUCAAAGACCACAAAAGUUGAGCUCAAAUUUUAGAAAGGUUAGUGUGAAACCAUGUGGAGUGAGAUCAUUUCCCCAAAUUGGUCCAAUCUAGAUUACUUGCCUAAGAUAUUUAACUCGGUUUGAUCCAAGGACAAGCUUCUUCACACCUCCAAAUAAGGGUUAUCUUGUACCAUGUUGAGUUAAACACUUAUAGCUCAUAUUCUAGAUCAAACACUAGGAUUGCAAGCCCACAAACAUGUCAUAUGCUACCACUAGAUCAAGUCAAGCAUAAAAGCAAUAGUGGUACCAUACAAGCAUCAAAUUCAUUUGAUUUUCAUGAAUGAUCCUAAGAUAUGUAAGGAAUGACUAGAUGCACUAAGCAAGUCCUUAGCAUAGGAUGAAUGACAUGUCAAUCAAUUUUACCUUGCUUUGCUCGAAGGAGAGGUAUGUCAUAUAGUGGGGGUGCAUCAACACAUAUUUGAGAAGUCAAGUAUGUUCAAUUCAUUCCUUAGCUUGCAAAAUCUCUUCUCAUCAAGUGGCUUGGUGAAUAUAUCGACAAGUUGAUCAUCAGUGCCUAUACUCUUAAUGCAAAUGUCCUCUUUUUGUUGGUGAUCUCUUAUGAAAUGAUGGCGGACAUCUAUGUGCUUUGUUCUUGAGUGUUGAACCGGACUGUUGGUGAGUUUUACGGCACUUUCAUUGUCACAUAGCAAUGGCACUUCUUUGAAACUGAUUCCAAAGUCCUUCAAUGUUGCCUUCAUCCAUAGAAUUUGUGCACAACAACUAUCGGCCGCAAUGUACUCCACUUCGGCGGUUGAUAAUGCAACACUAUUUUGCUUCUUGGAUGACCAUGAGACAAGUGAUCUUCCCAAUAGUUGACAUGUGCCCGAUGUGCUUCUUCUCUCAACUUUGCAUCCCGCAUAGUCCGAAUCGGAAUAUCCAACAAGUUCAAACUUUGCACCUUUGGGAUACCAUAAACCAACAUUUUGUGUAUGCUUCAAGUACCUCAAUAUUCUCUUUGUUGCUUUCAAAUGACUUUCUCUUGGUGAGGCUUGGAAUCUUGCACACAUGCAUACACUAAACAUGACAUCCGGUCUUGAUGCGGUCACAUAGAGUAGGCUUCCAAUCAUAGACCGAUACAACUUUUGAUCCACCAUAUUUCCACUUGUAUCACUAUCUAGGCUUCCAUUUGUUCCCAUUAGAGUGCUAAUUGAUUUUGCAUCAUCCAUACCAAACUUCUUGAGCAUGUCUUUUAUGUACUUGCCUUGACUCACAAAUGUGCCAUUCUUCAAUUGCUUAAUUUGAAGACCAAGGAAGUAACUAAGCUCUCCAAUUAUUGACAUCUCAAAUUCAUUAGCCAUCAUGUUGCCAAACUCUUCACAAAAUUCUUGAUUGGUUGAUCCAAAUAUGAUAUCAUCAACAUAUAUUUGCAACACAAACAAGACCUUGCCAAUCUUCUUGGUGAAGAGAGUGGUGUCAACCUUGCCCAUAUUGAAACCUUUAGAGAGUAAGAAGUCUCUCAAUCUCUCAUACCAUGCUCUUGGUGCUUGCUUCAAACCAUACAAUGUCUUUCUAAGCUUGUAAACAUGGUUGGGUUUCUUGUCAUCUUCAAAACUGGGAGGUUGCUCAACAUAAACUUCUUCAUUGAUAUAGCCAUUGAGAAAAGCACUCUUGACAUCCAUUUGGUAUAGCUUGAUAUUAUAAGCACAAGCAUAGGCCAACAAGAUCCUAAUUGCUUCCAAUCUUGCAACCGGGGCAUAUGUUUCACCAAAGUCAAGACCUUCAACUUGAGUAUAGCCUUGUGCUACCAAUCUUGCUUUGUUCCUUACAACUAUCCCAUCUUGAUCUUGUUUGUUGCGAAAGACCCAUCUGACAUUAUGAUCACUAGGCCUCUCAACUAAUUCCCAUACUUGAUUUCUCUUGAAGUUAUUAAGCUCUUCAUGCAUAGCAUUAACCCAAUCAACAUCUCUCAAUGCUUCAUCAAUCUUCUUUGGCUCAAUGUGAGACACAAAGGAGAAAUGCUCACAAAAUGAUGCUAGUCUUGAUCUAGUUUGCACUCCUCUUUGAAUGUCACCUAUGAUAUGAUCCAAUGGAUGAUCUCUUGCAAUGUUUGUUGGUUGGAGUAUUUGCACUUGAUUGCUUGAACUUGGUUGAUCAUGAGAUGAUGUACUAGCUUGUUGAUCUUGCACUUGAGUACCACUUGUACUAGCUUGAUUUUGAUCACUAGUUUGCACAUUAGAGGUAGGGAGCACUUGAUCUUUGUCAUCUUCAACAUCAAUCACCUCUCUAGGCCUUAAAUCACCAAUAUCCAUAUUUUUCAUUGCAUCGGCCAAUUGAGUGCCUCUCACAUCAUCUAGAUUCUCAUCUUCCUCUUGAGAGCCAUUUGUUUCAUCAAACUCAACAUCAUGCACCUCCUCAAGAGUACCACUAGCCAAAUUCCAAACUCUAUAAGCUUUGCUAGUAGUGGAGUAACCAAGCAAGAAACCUUCAUCACAUUUCUUUUCAAAUUUACUCAAUCUAGUGCCUUUCUUCAAUAUGUAGCAUUUGCAACCAAAAACCCGAAAGUAUGCAAUAUUGGGCUUUCUUCCAUUCAAGAGCUCAUAUGGUGUCUUUUCCAUCAUUGGGUGACAAUAGAGUCGGUUGCUAUAGUAGCAAGCCGUGUUGAUUGCUUCGGCCCAAAAAGAAUGACUCACAUUGUAUUCACUCAACAUUGAUCUUGCCAUGUCAAUCAAUGUUCUAUUCUUCCUCUCAACAAGACCAUUUGAUUGUGGAGUGUACUUGGCCGAGAAUUGAUGCCUAAUACCAAAUUCAUCACAAAGCUCAUCAACUCUUGUAUUCUUGAAUUCACUUCCAUUGUCACUUCUCACUUUCUUGAUGGUUGUUUCAAACUCAUUGUGUACUCUCUUGACAAAUGAUUUGAAGGUUGCAAAGGCAUCACUCUUGUCACUAAGAAAGAAUACCCAUGUGUAUCUUGUGAAAUCAUCCACUAUCACAAAUCCAUAUUUGUUUCCACCAAUGCUUGUGUAUGUGGUUGGUCCAAAUAAGUCCAUGUGCAACAACUCAAAUGCCUUGCAUGUACUCAUGAUGCUCUUCUUUGGCUGAGUGUUGCCAACUUGUUUUCCGGCUUGACAUGCACUACAAAGCUUGUCUUUCUCAAAUGUGACAUCUUUCAAGCCUCUAACAAGAUCAUGCUUGACUAACUUGUUUAAUUGUUUCAUUCCAACAUGACCAAGCCUUCUAUGCCAUAACCAACCCAUGCUAGAUUUAGUGAGCAAGCAUGUUGACAAUUGAGCUUCACUAGCAUUGAAAUCAACCAAGUAUAGAUUCUCAUAUCUAAAGCCUUUGAAUAUCAAGUUUGAGCCAUCUACACUUAUGAUCUCUACAUCAUCAACUCCAAAGAUGCAUUUGAAACCAAGAUCACAAAGUUGAGCUACGGAUAGCAAGUUGAGUUCAAGCUCUCUACUAGUAGCACAUUGGAAAUGCUCAAAUCAUUGGAUAUAGCAAUUUUACCAAGCCCUUUGACCUUGCCUUUGCCAUUAUCACCAAAUGUGAUACUAUCAACUCCAUUGUCAUCAUUUGGAUUGAUUGAAUUGAACAUUCUUGAAUCACCGGUCAUGUGUUGUGUGCACCCACUAUCAAGCACCCAAUGCCUUCCUCCGUCUUUAUAGUUUACCUACAAAACAAAUCAAUGUUUCUUAGGUACCCAUACUUGUUUGGGUCCUUGGAGGUUAGUGACUAAGCUUUUUGGUACCCAAAUGGCCUUCUUCUUUGGACCCACAAUUGGUGUACCAACAAACUUAGCAUGCACACCCUUCUCACCCUUGGUAAGCACAUAACAAGAAUCAAAAGGAAUGUAAGGUACAUUAGCAUUUUUCUUGUUCUUGUUCAUUUUAUUGCAAUUAAGCUCUAGGUGCCCAACUUGCUUGCAUUUGUAGCAAUACCGACCAUUGCUCUUCACAAAGCUAGGCUUGUGAGUUGCAAAGGCUUUCUUGCCCUUCUUGGGGGUAUAGCCUAAUCCCUCUUUGUUGAGAGAAAACCUUUGGCUACCCAAGCACUUUAGCAAGCGGGCCUCACCACCAUAGGCCUUGCCUAGGGCAUGAGUGAGCUCAUCCACCUCUCUCUUGAGAGUCUCAUUCUCAACCUUUAGUGAAGCAUCACAAGUGACACUAACACUAGAAGUGGAGGUAGAGUUGGUGGUGGUGGAUGAAGACCUACAAGAAGUGUUAGUGCCAACAGCAAUAGGUAGGUUGAGUGAUUCUUUAAUUAAGUCACAUGUUGUUCCCACAUCACAUGAUACAACAACCUUUUCCUUGUUCUCUUCUAACAACAAGGAGUGAGCUUUCUCAAGCUUGGUGUGAGCCUUACCAAGCUUCUCAUGGGCUUCCACUAGCCUCUCAUGAUUAGCAUUGAGCUCAUCAAAGGAUUGCUCAAGAGCUUUUAACUUCUUGGCCAAUUCUUUGCACUUCUUGUUUUUAGAUUGAAUGAGAGAAUCGGCUUGUUCUAACAUGUCCAUGAGUUGUUCAUUAGUGAAUUCAUUUUCAUCAUCACUAUCACUAUCAUGUUCACGUUCAGUUUCACUUUCACUCUCAUCAUGUUCUACCUUGUGGCCCUUGGCCAUGAAGCAUGAAGGAGUGUCGAAGAGUGAUGGCUUGUUGUUGAUAGCAAUGCUAGCAAGUGCCUUCUUCUUGGAUGCUUUGUCAUCAUCACUUGAAUCAUCAUCCGAAGAGGCAUCACUAUCCCAUGUCACAACAUAGGAUCCACCCUUCUACUUUUUCUUGAAGACCAUCUUCUUCUCUUUCUUUUCUUUCUUCUCCUUCUUGUUCUUCUUCUCAUGCUCAUCAUGAUCACUAUUGUAUGGACAAUCCGCCACAAUAUGAUCGGGGCUUUUGCACUUGUAGCAUAGCCUCACAUGCUCCUUGUUCUUGAAGUGAUCUCUUCUCUUUCUUGUGUGAUACCCCUUCUUCUUCAUCAUCUUGCCAAACAUGCGGACAAAGAGUGCUAGUGCUUCAUCAUCACUAUCAUCAUUGCAGCACUCCUCAUCACUUGAUUCUUCCUUCUUGGCCUUUCCCUUGUUCUUGCUCUUGGAAGAAGAGCUAGUUUUGAAUGCUACACUCUUCUUCUUCUUGUCAUCAUCAUCCUUUUUCAUGACCUCAUCAUCAUCAUUGUCAUUGUAUUGAUCUUCGGUCAUGACAUCUCCAAGUACCUCAUUGGGAGAUACACCGGUCAAUCCAAGUCUAAAGAUGAUUGUUCUCAAUGUCUUGAAUCUCUUGGGCAAGCACAUUAAGAACUUGUGAAUGAAAUCCUCAUCCUUCACUUUCUCACCAAGGCCCUUGAGAUCAUUGAUGAUGACUUGGAGCCUAUAGAACAUCUCCGGAAUUGACUCAUCAUCCUUCAUCUUGAAGUUUGAAAGCUUGUCCUUGAGCAUGUAUAACUUGGCACUUUUUACCGUUGUAGUGCCCUCAUAUGUUUCUUCUAGUCUUGUCCACACUUCACUUGCCUUCUUAAGAUCUUUGACUUGUUCAAAUACUUUUGAAUCAAUGCCAUUGUAUAUUGCGUUGAGAGCCAUAGUAUUGCAUUGCUUGUUUGCUCUCUCAUUGUCGGUGGGGUUAGCUGGAUCAAGAAUCACAAAGUCAUUUUCGGUGACUUCCCACACUCUAUCAUUUAUUGAUCCAAGAUACAUUUUCAUCUUUCUCUUCCAAUAGUCAAAAGAACUUGUGCCAUCAAAGAACGGUGGUUUGCCCCCAACAUGGUUGAACACUAUUUGAGCCAUAAUUUGAGCACCGAGGUUGUUAAGCCUUCACAAAUGGUGACCACGGCUCCGAUACCACUUGAAAGGUCCUAAUAUGGCUAGAGGGCGGGUGAAUAACCUAUUUAAAAAACCUACAAACUCACUAGAGCAAGAGGUUAGUAAAUAACAAAGCGUAGCUUUUUGCUCUAGCUCUAAAAGGGGUGUUUGCAAGCCACCUAUCCAAUAAUUCUAGUUGCUAUGAUCACUAUGCACACAAGCUCUAGGUCUUCUACAGGUUACACUAGUGAGCUUAACUACACAAGUCAAAACUAGCAACUAAAACAAGUUACACUACUUUGCGGUAAGUAAAAGGAGAGGAAAAGAUAUUUAUACCGCCGUGUAGGGGAUGAACCAAUCACCAAUAUAUCAAAAUCAAGCACCGGGAGAAUGCCAAUCAAUCACAAUUGAGACACCGAUUUUUCUCCCGAGGUUCACGUGCUUGCCGGCACGCUACGUCCCCGUUGUGUCGACCAACACUUGGUGGUUCGGUGGCUAAGAGGUGUAGCACGAACCUCGUCCUCACUAGGACACCACAAGAACCUACCCACAAGUGAGGUAGCUCAAUGACACGAGCAAUCCACUAAUGUUGCCUUUGGCUCUCCACCGAGGUAGGAACAAACCUCUCACAAUCACCGGGAGAUGGCCACGAACAAUCACCAACUCGUGCCAAAGCUCCUCCGCAGCUCCAAGCCGUCUAGGUGGCGGUAACCACCAAGAGUAACAAGCAAACCCGCUGCUCAACGAUCACUAGUGCCACUAGAUGCUCAAACUCUAAGCAAAUGCAACUAGGAUCUCUCCCAAUCUAACUUUGGAUGAACAAAUCUUGAACAAGGUGAGUGGGAAGUGUGGGAGUAUGCUCACAAGGUGUAUCAACAAGUUAGAGAGUCAAGAGGGUGAGCAAGAACCGGCCAAGGCUUAUUUAUAGAAGUCCCAACCUUCAACUAGCCGUUGAUAGUUUAUCCCACAGUCUGCGUUCACACCGGACGCGUCCUAGUUCACACCGGACGCGUCCGGUAUGAGCCAGACCAGCGUCCGGUGCUCCUGGCCGUUAAAAAAGGAGUCGUUGCCUCUGACACUGACAAGGCACCGGACGCUCGCUUUUAAAAUACCAGACGCGUCCGGUAUGCACCGGACCCAAACUCAGGGAGCGUCGCAAACUUGAGCCAACACCGGUCGCCACACCAAACGCACACACCGGACGCGUCCGGUGUGCACCGGACUCACACCCAGAGAGCUCUGCAGGAGGAGUUUGCACCGGACGCUAACUCGGACGCGUCCUAGUUCACAUCGGACGCGUCUGGUGUGCACCGAACGCAAACUCCGAGAGUUUCACGGAGAAACGAACUCACCGGACGAGGCACACCGGACUCUACGUGAAAACUCUUUCCGCGUCCGGUGCCUCAACUCGGACGCGCCCGCCCACCCCCCUUGGGCGCCCGCCCAGGUGUUUCCACCAAUCACAGAAUGGAGUACACCAUUGCAAUGAUCUCGUCGAGCUGAUCGAAAUGCAUAUAUUACUUGCUAUAUUUGGAGUUCGGAAUCAAAAGAUAUUAAUAAAAGAAGGACUCCACAUAAAAGAGCUGCGGGAUUAAUUGGGCCCAAAUCAGAUUUUGGUCCAUUAAGGCCUAUGUGCAUUUUAAUGAGAUAUGGUGGAAAGUUUAGUACCACAUCGCCUGCUGAACCAAAAACGCACAGAGGAGGAGGACUAUAUAAGCAAGGCCCCUGGCCCCUGGAGAAGACAAGAAAUUAUCAUAGAGAUUGAGGGGUGCCCUCGAAGGAAAACCUCUUCUCUAAAUAAUAUUUCUUUUUAGGCUUAGCAACCAAUGUAAAGUAGAAAUAGGUCUUCUAGUUUCUACUAGAUUGAGAGAGAUAGAGUGGAGGUGUGGAUCGGAGGAAGGCCGGCCUGUCGGUGUCUACUCCGAGUUGUACCUGCGGGAUCAAGUCUCCUAACCCGAGGCUUGCUUCUAAGAUUCUUCAGUAAUUCGACUUCUAAUACUAGUAAGUUCUUGUUUUAUUGUUCUUUGGUUUAUGAGUUUACUUUAAUCCUAUUCCGGUUGAGUAUUAGAGUAAUCACUUGCUAGCGUAAACGUGGUGUUUAGGCUAGGGUACUCAUAGAUAUCCCCUAACUAGCUAGACCGUGGUAGUAGCGAGGAACGUGACAUUUCCGAGUUACCUUUGCAGAUCACAUCUCGUUAGCAGGACGGGUAGGUUUAUAGGUGCGGGUCGAACAUCCUUUGUGUUGUCUAGAUUCCGUGAGCCUCCUCAAUAGAACAGUAGAUCAUCCUUACCAAGGUUGGAACGAGACUACGGUUGCAGUCUUCUCUAUACAUCACUCACAUCGAGAGACAUUCUUUGUAGCCUAAAGGGAUAGUAGCAAUAGAUUUGGUUAGUCAGAUGCACCCUUUCUCCCAGUGGUAAAAAUAUAAAUACGAUAACUCUAGAUAACCUCCCGGGUGAAAUGCUCACCGAUAUCCGUGCGCUUGCGGAUCAUUUUCUUAUUGCGUUACCAAAUAUCAACAAGCAUUUCUGGCGCCGUUGCCGGGGAGAAAGACGGUUUGCUGAGAUAACUUUGAGUCUUGCUAUUAUCUUGUAUUAUACUUUUAUUCUUUUAUCUUUUUAUUUUUAUCUUUAUGGAUAACUUAAAUUCCAUACCUAUUAUUGAAUUUUUGCACCUUCGGAGACCAGCCAUAGACCAUGGGAGUCAACAAGUCCUGCCCCUAAUUAUGAUCUAUGUCCGGAGUUGAUUGCAAUAGGUCAAAACCAACCCUUUUCUAUAGCCGAGGUCCUAUCUUUUAAUCAAGAAGAUAAUGCACUUUUAGCUACACCUAGGGAAUCUUUUAAUCUUUCUAUAAAUUCUGGUUUAAACCUAGCCCUACAAGACCAUGUUUUUUCUAGAUAUUUUCACAUUGGUCUUAAUCAAUAACCUUUGGUAGAGUCCUUCUUUCUUUAUCUAUUAGUAAAGGAAGGUAUGUCUUCAUUCGUGAACAUCCUUCUUGUACUAGUCUUUAUAGAAAAAUCUUAGAGAUAGAGAAGGAAUCAUCUCCCAUACAAGAAGAGGAAGUUUCAAUAACCGAUUUCCAAACAUUUCAAUCCCAUAAUUCGGCUAUCCAACCCAUCCUAGAGUUUAAUAAAUUCUACUAUGCUCUUUCUCUUGAACCUCCCGAUAAUCCUGUGAAUCUCUCUAGACAUCCCAUGCAUAAGGAGGAUCGAGAAGAGCAACAUCGAUGGCUGGAGGGCAUUAAAAAUCCAUGUGCUGUCACCAUUGAAUGGAUAGAUAAAACAAACUUGAGAGACAAUCCUAGAGGAAUUUUAAACAUUCAUGAAGAAUCAUCCUUGGAGUUUGAGAAUGAGAGAAAUAACAGUGAGCAUGGAAGUUAUUUCAUAAAUACCUUACCAAGUCCUUGCUCAUAUAAAACAUCUCCCCAAUCAAUCGGUCUCUCCAUCAUCACCACAUUUGAGAUCUCCAACCCCCUCUUCCUUUUUAUUUAUAAAAACUUUAAAAGGGCGGUUGUCGAUGCAUAUGUCUAUAAUAAAUAUUGCAGAUCUCGUUGAGUUGAUCUUGAUAUAGGUAGGUGUUGGAGGGGAAACCACUUUACCAACAUAACUUGAUGGUUUUCCAAGGAUAAGCUUAGCGUCCUUAAACGAGCACUUAUCAGAUCGUAACAUGAACUUCUAAUUAUUUGCAACAUUGCCUUGUGUAUUGAGCAUAUUGAGAUAAUUAUAGAAAUAUUCCUUCGGGUAUUCUUGCCACUAACCUUUCCAGGAUUGGAGCAAGAAGAUCGGAUGAAUGACAAGCGCAAGGUAUGCCCAACCAAUCAUCAUGUAACAUUAAAUUAAAUUCAUCCAAUCUUGAAUUUUGCAAAAUUCAAGCUUGGGGGAGUACUUUACAUAAAACAUCCUUUGCCAUGCUGCUAUAUUGGUUGUCCUUACCUUUGAGACAUGCUCAAUUUGUUAAAUACUAAUCACACUACUUCAUCUCCACUUGAGUAGAUCUCUAUAAAAGCCAUCAUGCUACCUUUGUUUAUCCUAGUAAGUGUUAGUUUGGAAGUACUGGACACACUUCCAAUGGCAUUUAACUUAAGCGUGGUGCUUAGGUUAAACAGCCUUCCUUAAUCUGAUUAGACAUGGAGUCUAGUUUGGUUACUGAACUAAAAACUGCUUGAGUAGAUAUUGGUAUAUUUUGUGGGACUAACCCCUGCAGGAGAACUUUCAAUAUCAACCUGGGAAGUCCUGAGAUAAACUCACAUUGGAGAUGAAGAAAGUGACACAUGAAGUUUAACAAUUUGCACAAGAAAGACGUAGCUCAUAAGACAUGAUUCAUGGAGGGUGCCACAAACACGAUGCACAACCACUAAGAAAGGAAAGCUUCCACAAGGUGAUACUAUACCAUCACUCUUCAAUAACAUCUUAAAGUACUUGAUUAUCACUUUUAUAAGUUCUCCUUGGUUCUGGCAUACACAUGAAUAAAAGAGACAAACAUGUAUGAUUUAUAACUCCAAAUUAACCAACUCAAUUAAUUCAGCAUGUUUAGUCCUUUAAUCUUUGUUCUUAGUACUACCUUCGUGAUCCCACACUCCUAAUCAUAUAAGCUAAAGUAUUGCACAUUCAAUCUUUGGAAGAUAUAAACAAAACAUAAAUAUAGAUAGAUUAUAUUUCCAUUAGGUUGAGCCAUUUGAUCUAACAAAUGUUUUAAAUGCUACACUCAUGAUCCAUCAACUUUGCCUUGCUCACUAUGCUUAAGGUUAGAGAAGAACAAAUACACUUUUGGUUCUGUUGGUGUUUUCCACCAACAGGGCCCAUGCACUUGAUCUCUGCCUUGUCUCCAUGAAUAGGUACACUUCAAACAAAACAUGGAGGAGUUUUACAACUCCCAGAUUCCACUAAGUGAAGAACCGGGAUCUACGAGCACAAACACAAUGGAGAUCAGACACUUAGUUUCCCAAAGGAAAUAUUGAAGAACCUCUGUGUCCGAGUUGGUACCUUGUACGCUCCAGCAAACUUCGUGGUGAUAGAGACUGGUACUGAGGAGAGGGCACCCAUCAUCUUAGGGAGGCCAUUCCUAAACACCAGAGCAGUCAUCUACGCUAAUGCUGCCAAGAUCAGUCUCUACAUCAAGGGGAAGAAGGAGACUUUCCUUCAAGAACAAGACUACACAAGCUUCAGAGCAAACCCGACAUGAACCAAGGAAGAGGACCAACAGGAGGAACAGGAACAAGCAAAUGUGGACUGAGUCAGCUAAGAUGGUCACUGCAGUUCAAAGAGGUCAAGAUCGUCGACUCAAGUCGCCAUUUCUGAUCAAGAAGGACAACCCUGGUGUUCCAAGUAUUGAGUGCACAAUCAACAGAUACUCUUUUUAGAAGACACUCUACGACACCGGAUCUGAUGUCAACAUAAUGGCCGCAGUCACUUAUCAGCUCCUGCAUGGAACCAUGCUCCUACAACCAGCAUACAUUCAGCUCCAGAAAAUUUUCAGGUCAUUGACAUGGGAGAAGACGAGUAUGAUCCACCGACCAUCCUUGGAAGACCGUUCCUCAACACUAUCAAAGCCAUCAUCUAUAUUGGAACCGGAGAAGUCCACAUGCACUUCCUCUCUGAGAAGGUACGCCACUACUUUAAUGAUUCUAACUAUAUAGUUGAAGAUUCUAAGCAGGUCAGGACAAGAAGAAGACAACGCAACCGCAACCAGAGGAGGCAGAUCAUCAAGGACGGAUGGGUAGACUACGAAGGAGAAGUGAUAAGGUCUGAACACAUACGGCUUGAACAGAACUGUCCUGAGGAGACCGUAGCACCGAGUCAGGUGUGGAGAGAGAAGAUAGUUAUACACGACAAAGAGGCGCCGCCGGAAUCACCGACUACGCCACCUAGCGAAUCCCAGGACGACUAAGAAAACGGAGAGUCCCGUUCGGAGGACUUAAAAAUACCGAACGCCUUGCCAAGAGGUAAACUUGGUAGUUAUCCUUUUCCAUUCAAUAGUUUGCUUAGUUAAGCAGGUUCAUGCUAUCUUGAAAAGAAAAUAAAUGUUAAAAAAUAGUAAGCCCCAUGUGAGUAUGCUCAUGGCAUAAAACCCAUAAGUACAUUCACUGUGGUGGCAUGAAAAUAAAAUAAAUAAGUUUUCAUCUUACAAUAAAAAUAUAAAAAUAAUAAGUGCAUGAUCCUGCUAAAUAAGUAAUAUUGAGGAGGCUCAACAUGAUAAAGGCUAGAUAUUUAUGCUAACACUUAACCAGUUCCACAAAGCUUUGUUGUCUAUUUGAGCUCCACAGAAUUCAAGGAUCAAAGAAGACUAGCAGACAGAGGACAUCCUAAUCACUGUCGGGGUGCUGUCGACUUUCAAAUACACCUCCAUCACCUGCUAGCUACAUCAGAAGAAAUUACGUCAAAAUUCAGCUUGGGGGAGAGCACCCCCAUUUAUCUCGCUAAGUAUUUCUACCUAUCUUUAUACUUAUAUUAUGUUAGAAUAUUAAAAUACAUAAACUAUGAAAAAACCAAAUAAAGAUUUUGUGCUUUUAUAUAUAUAUCUUUGCUUAGUUUGCUAAAUAAAUAAAUAAAUAAAAUUUGCUAUGAACCCUCAUGAUAAGCUCUCUCAUGGAAAUGAUGAAUAGUUGCUCUGCCAUGACUAGUUCUUAAAAUUGAAAUCUCUCUCAAGUUUAGGCAUAACUGUUAUAAUUUAAAGCUUGCUCUAAACCUAAACUUGUGGGAAGAGUACUUGAUCUAAAGUCUAAGUCGUUAACGGAUAUGAUAUGGGAAGGUUGAGCUGCUGUUUAUCUGUUCCUAGAGAUGCUAGAAUUCUGGAGAAUUUUAUCUUUGAAAAAAUCUUUAAAAUAACACAUGAUGAGUUCCUGUAUGAUGAGAGUUUAAAAUCCUACCACAGCCAUAUAUACAUGCUUGCUAGACUUUGAGCCACGUAUUUACUUUUUACUGCUUAUGAGCAUUGAGUGUGGUCAAGCUGUGUAGACCCUUAGGAGCUUGUCAUAUGGUUAAAAUCAAGAUUCACUUGCACGUUCACUCAUACAUGCUACUUCUACUCCGAAAGUACGCAUCCACAUACAUCCACUCAUUUCCAUCUCCACAUUCACCCGAAAUUAUUCUACUCCUAAUCCGGGAGAGAAUAGCCAAAAACAUUUUCCUAUACCUGUUAUUCCCUGUGAAAUAAAUGCUCCAGUUAUUUUGGUUACUACCACUUGCUAUAUUAUUUCAGGAGAUGAGUGCUCUAAAAAAAAGAGAAGAAAAAAAAAAGAAAAAAAAUAUAAUAAAUAAUAUACGAGGAAAUAAAAAGAGGCAAGUGCCCGGAACCUCGAAGAAAAGAAAAAGUGAGACGAGAGGUAAAAAUGGACAAGUGUCCGACAGUAGAAUUAGGGGUACAAGAUACCACCUGAGAGGAAAGAAAAAGAAAAUAUAGAGCAUCUCAUUCUCCCCAAAAAGCUUCAAGUGCAAGAAAGGUAUGUAUCCCCUCAAAAGAGCAAAAGUAGAAUUAGACUUUCACCAUUAUUAUCACCAUCAUCACCAUACACCAUUCAUUCGCCACACAUGCACAUCUUGAUUUGACUUAUUGACUUGUUCUUCUGGAUCCAUGGUUUGACUAUGCAAUAAAUGUCUUGUAAGUAUGUAUUAGUUGUCUCCCACCUAUGAGCUCCAGAUAUCAGAACUUUAUUAGAGUAGGGUGAGAGAGAAGGCAAUAUCACUAUGCCUCAUACCAAAAAUACCACAUACUUUGAGAGAAGGCAUAUACCAUUACUGCCUUGGUAAGGAUCCAUAAAUACCACAAAAGAGAGAUCUGAGAGAGUCAUAUAAGGAAUCUCUGAGUUUUAUUUGAAAAUCUGCAAAAAACCCCAGAGCUAUAGCUGAUCAAGAAUAAGAGACAUGGCGCUUGACUUGACCGUUCUAUCUUUUAACUGCUCAAGACACAAGUGAUAGUUACAAGCCCCAUGGUGAAAGGUAAAAUGAGUAAGUUUUAAGUCUUAACAGUUUAUUCUAACUCAAAGAUGAGAUCUUGCUUGAAUGCGUGUGUACUUUUAAGAAAUGAAACCACUGCAGAAACUCUUGAGUUCAUCCUUGCUCAGGGACGAGCAAGAGGUAAGCUUGGGGGAGUUUGUUGAUGGUCCUUAAGUAUCAAAUUUAAUUAUCAAAUAAACAAAGAAAAGGAUCCAAAUGAAAUCAACAUCUAGACUUAGGGUUUUAUCUGACAGAAUUCCACGAGUUUUGGUGUUUGUCUAUUUCUGUAGGGGGUUAUCAGAAAAUAAGGAAGAAAGGCCCACACGUUGGGAUUACAUAGAGAUAUUAAUGUGCCGCACAAUUUUCUAUCAUCUAGAAGACUCCAGAAGCCACGGGAACGAACGAGAAGGCAAACGGGCCCGGGGGCAGGGCGCCCGCCCACCCCCCUUGGGCGCCCGCCCAGGUGUUUCCACCAAUCACAGAAUGGAGUACACCAUUGCAAUGAUCUCGUUGAGCUGAUCGAAAUGCAUAUAUUACUUGCUAUAUUUGGAGUUCGGAAUCAAAAGAUAUUAAUAAAAGAAGGACUCCACAUAAAAGAGCUGCGGGAUUAAUUGGGCCCAAAUCAGAUUUUGGUCCAUUAAGGCCUAUGUGCAUUUUAAUGAGAUAUGGUGGAAAGUUUAGUACCACAUCGCCUGCUGAACCAAAAACGCACAGAGGAGGAGGACUAUAUAAGCAAGGCCCCUGGUCCCUGGAGAAGACAAGAAAUUAUCAUAGAGAUUGAGGGGUGCCCUCGAAGGAAAACCUCUUCUCUAAAUAAUAUUUCUUUUUAGGCUUAGCAACCAAUGUAAAGUAGAAAUAGAUCUUCUAGUUUCUACUAGAUUGAGAGAGAUAGAGUGGAGGUGUGGAUCAGAGGAAGGCCGGCCUGUCGGUGUCUACUCCGAGUUGUACCUG
This 29007-nucleotide long non-coding RNA is filed under the name Sorghum bicolor (sorghum). RNAcentral's name for it is "long non-coding RNA (SBIC_LNC007003)". Lineage: Eukaryota; Viridiplantae; Streptophyta; Magnoliopsida; Poales; Poaceae. The record is from RNAcentral.